RNAcentral lists this ribosomal RNA (701 nucleotides) under Amanita pseudofritillaria. RNAcentral's name for it is "partial large subunit ribosomal RNA". It matches the Rfam family "Eukaryotic large subunit ribosomal RNA", at positions 72 to 758 of the family's 3401-position model. The record is from RNAcentral. Lineage: Eukaryota; Fungi; Basidiomycota; Agaricomycetes; Agaricales; Amanitaceae.
GGAUUCCCUUAGUAACUGCGAGUGAAGAGGGAAAAGCUCAAAUUUAGAAUCUGGCAGCAUUUUGCUGUCCGAGUUGUAACCUAGAGAAGUGUAACCUGUGCUGGACCGUGUAUAAGUUUCCUGGAAUGGAGCAUCACAGAGGGUGAGAAUCCCGUCUUUGACAUGGACUACCAGUGCAUUGUGGUUGUGCUCUCAACGAGUCGAGUUGUUUGGGAAUGCAGCUCUAAAUGGGUGGUAAAUUCCAUCUAAAGCUAAAUAUUGGCGAGAGACCGAUAGCGAACAAGUACCGUGAGGGAAAGAUGAAAAGAACUUUGGAAAGAGAGUUAAACAGUAUGUGAAAUUGUUGAAAGGGAAACGUUUGAAGUCAGUCGCGUUAGCUGGGGAUCAGCCUGACAUUGUUGGGUGCACUUCCUGGUUGACGGGCCAACAUCAGUUUUGACUGCCAGAAAAAGGCCAAGGGAAUGUGGCACCUUUGGGUGUGUUAUAGCCUUUGGUCAUAUAUGGUGGUUGGGACUGAGGAACGCAGUGUGCCGAAAGGCCGGGUUUCGACCACGUUCACACUGAGGAUGUUGGCAUAAUGGCUUUAAGCGACCCGUCUUGAAACACGGACCAAGGAGUCUAACAUGCAUGCGAGUGUUUGGGUGGGAAAACCCUUACGCGUAAUGAAAGUGAAAGUUGAGAUCCCCUGUCGUGGGGAGCCC